Molecule: unclassified non-coding RNA, 100 nt
Organism: Gorilla gorilla gorilla (western lowland gorilla)
Lineage: Eukaryota; Metazoa; Chordata; Mammalia; Primates; Hominidae
Rfam family: Y RNA
About the family: Y RNAs are components of the Ro ribonucleoprotein particle (Ro RNP), in association with Ro60 and La proteins.
Source: Ensembl
GGCCCCUCCAAAAAUAGAGUAUCUUAGUUAUUCACAGUCAGUUAAAGAUUGAACUUCUCCUCUUUUCCCCCUUCUUACUACUGCCAUUGAUGAGUCUUUU